RNAcentral lists this long non-coding RNA (979 nucleotides) under Triticum aestivum (bread wheat). Its description in RNAcentral is "long non-coding RNA (TAES_LNC018596)". Lineage: Eukaryota; Viridiplantae; Streptophyta; Magnoliopsida; Poales; Poaceae. The record is from RNAcentral.
GCCCCCUCUGCCCCGAGGUCGCCUCCCAUGGAGCCGUCACUCCUGACGUGCUUCAGCCGGAGGCACUCCUAGACCUCCUCCAGGGCCAGGAUCCACAGGACGCCCUCUGCCCCGAGGUCGCCUCCAAUGGAUGCGCCAUCAUCUUCCCUCGUAGACGCACCGUGAUACGUCUCCAACGUAUUUACAAUUUUUUAUUGUUCCAUGUUGUUAUAUUAUCAUUCUUAAGUGUUUUAUAAUCAUUUUGUAAUAAUUUUAUAUUAUUUUUUGGGACUAAUCUAUUGACAUAGUGCCCGGUGCCAAUUGCUGUUUUUUUACCUCGCAGAAUAUCAGUACCAAACGGAGUCCAAACGCAGCGAACCUUUUUGGAGAAUUUUUAUGGACCCGAAGGAACAAGUUGGGCCAAAGAAGUACCAGAGGGGUGCCCCCAGGGGGGCACAACCCACCUAGGCCCACUUCGGUGGCCUCCCGCACCGCCUCUUUGCUCUAUAAAUACCUCAAAAAUCCAGAAACCCUAGGGGAGUCGACGAAACACAAUUUCAGCCGCCGCAAUUUCCAGAACCACCAGAUUCAAUCUAGAAACCAUCACGGAGGGUUCUUCAUCCUCAUUGGUGCCUCUCCGAUGAUGCAUGAGUAGUUCAUUGUAGACCUACGGGUCCAUACGCAGUAACUAGAUGGCUUCUUCUCUCUUUUUGAUUCUCAAUACAAUGGUCUCUUGGACAUCUAUUUGAUGUAACUCUUUUUUUCGGUGUGUUUGUUGGGAUCCGAUGAACUUUGAGUUUAUGAUCAGAUCUAUCUAUCCAUGAAAGUUAUUUAAGUUUCUUUGAUCUCUUAUAUGCAUGAUUACUUACAGUCUCAAAUUUCUUCUUCGAGUCUUUGGUUUAGUUAGGCCGACUAGAUCGAUUUUUCUUGCCAUGGGAAAAGGUGCUUUGUGAUGGGUUCGAUCAUACGGUGUUCUUUCCCAGUGACAGAAGGGGCAGCA